CUGGAGGUGGGGUGGAUGGUCUAGGAGUGAGAAGGGGAGGGGGCUAGCCCCACCUCACUGGAGUAGAAAGCAGGCGGGAGAAAAAAAAAGGGAGGAAGGAAGAAAAUCACAGCCAUACAGGCUACGCUUCCCCCAGCUGAGCUGUAUCUGCAGUCGACCAGUGGAAAAAAAACACAAUAUGGAGACGCGCUCCUCCCGCAAAACUGCCAACCCCAUCUGUCAGCCAUUAGUUAAUCAGGGCUGGUGACCGAACAAACGAAGAGCUGGCAAAGCCCCUGGGAUUGAGGACAGCUUCAUCUCUGAGAGCACGAUGAGGGCAAGGACUCUGGGACCUUUGCUCUGAAGAUCCACAGCUGGGAAACUUUACAGAAAUGGCAACUGGAAAUACCCAAGUCAACCCCACCCACUCCACAACUCACAGCAGAGCUUUAACCUUUGUCUGUCUUGGAACGUGCCGGACUGGGAAAUGUUGGCAGCAUUUUGGAAAGAGAGUAAAGCUCUUCAAAGGCACUCAGAGCAAGAGUCAACAUGCAAGUGCAGACCGCAGGAAGGACAUUUGGAGGUGUGCCCAGGGCUGAAUGUUGUCUAAGCUGUUACGAAGAGUAAUAUUGAUAAAAUAUGGAAUGAUAAAAUGUCAACCAUGACACACCAGUUUGCAUACAGCAUGAUACGUGGGAGCAGAAUGAAUGUUUCAAAGGUCCAAGCAACACUUGCUAUCAUCAUGCAGGUGGGAGCGACACCUUGGGAAAGAGGAAUGUUGAGUCAGAGAUCUGUUCUGCAAUGGGAAACCAGAGAGAUGACACAGAGUAACAUUCUAAUCCAGUUCACAUCAUGCUAUUACUAGGAAUCUGAAGUUGAGUACAAUACAAGGAUGAAGUUGUGAUGUGUAAAGUUGUUUUCUUGAUUAUGAAUGCAGAUGCUUGCAUGUAAAAAUUACUCCCUUUUUCUGUCUCUGAAGUAUUUGACAGACUAUUAACCACAAUUGCAGCAAACUUCAGUCUUGCUGACACUAAACAGCCCAUUCUGGACUUGUCUGUAAGUACAAAUCUGCCGGCAACAACGAGUCCAAUAAACAGCUGCUUGACCGAGCAUGGAGACUUUUAUCAACACAUUUUCCUUUUAAAGUCAACAUCCCUAAGAAAAGACCCUGUGAUGCACGAUAACAAGAAAAAACACCACAGAGAUCAGUGAUUUGAUCAAUUAUUUCUAACGUCACUGAAAGAAUCGGAAAUGCUCAGUUAAACACCAUGUGUUGUCAUGGACUUGAACAAUCAAUCUAUCACAGUCUUUCCCAUUAUCUACUGCCACAUUCAUUUCACUCCCUAGUAUGAUGGUGUUGAAAGGUUCAAAGAGGACUUGGGCCCAUCAAGACUAAGUAUGUAGUCUUAUAUACAAUAUACUGCUGAAAGUCUUGAGAUUACACACAAAACCUGUAAUGAAUUCCCAUUUAUUAUACAUAGGUUUUAACAUGGAGUUGGCCCAUUCUUUAUAGCUAUAAUAGCUUCAACUCUUCUAAAAAGGCUUCUCACAAGGUUUAGGAGUGUGUUUAUUGAAAUGUUUGAUUCCUCCUCCAGGAUAGUAUUUUUGAGGUCAGACACUGAUGUUGGAUGAGAGGGUCUGGCUUGCAGUCUCUGCUUUAAUUCUUCCCUAAGGUGUUUUGUCGGCUCGGGCUAAGGACUCUGUGCAAGCCAAUCAAGUUCCUCCACAAAAAACAGGGUCAUCUAUGUUCUUAUGGACCUUGCUUUGCACACUGGUGUGCAGUCCUGUUGGAACUUGAAGGGAUCAUCCCAAACACAAAGAAAAAAUCUCUAUGGGUCUAGAGUCCAGUGUUGGCAGGCUUUAGAGCACUGAAUAUAAUUGCACUUGUUGGUUUUAGGCUUUGGAUUGACAUUCUCAGCCAUGGAAACCCAUUUCCUAAAGCUUACUACCCCCUAUUCUUGACCUAAACUGAAGCCACACAAAAUUUGGAGGUCUAUAGCUAUUCACUCCAUACACAGCUGUUAGCACAUUGUGCACUUUAGUCUGUAAUGUCCCUGCUUUGAACUUUAACUUGGUAUAUCAUUAAGUGGCUAAAUUGCUAUUGUUUUCCAAUGUUUCCACAGGUACUUAUUGUCCAUGUGCCAUCCUACCUACCUCGCUUUUAUUUGCUAGGUCCUUGAGAGUGACCCAUUCUUUCACAAAUGUUUGCAGUCUGCCCACCAAGAUGCUGGAUUUUAUACAUGGGGCCAUGGAAGGGAUUAGAACAUCUGUAUUCAAUAAUUUUGAGGGGUGACCGACUACUUCAGGCAAUAUAGUGUCAAGCUCGGUCAGAAUGGAUAGAGAACUUCCCCGAACAGCAAUUUAUUAGGCCUUGCCACAAGAUUUCCAUUUUGAUUUAGUUCCAUCCAUCUUCCCACCAAUACUGACCAGUUUCCUUUGACCUACUGAUGAAAGGCAUCCCCAAAGAAUUGUGCUAUCACUACCAUGAUUCACCAUAGCUGAUGUAUGGUUUUAGCUUUCUGCCAUAAACACCAAACUGCAACCAGGACUUCUGAUGGCUCACUCUGAACACACUCUUGCUUUCUUCUUGCCAUGAGCCGUUACUUUAAGCAUUUUAUCUUUUUCUCUGUUUUCUCCUUGCCUAGCCUGUGUUUGGGACACUGCAGCUGGUUGAACUGGGUUUUGUUUAGAGGUAUAGGGACCUGUAUACAGUGGGUAGUAUACAUUUAAUGUAUAUUUAAUGUAUACCACACAUGUCAGAUUUUAUUUGUGGAAAACAAAUUAAAACCAUGUGUCAUUUUCAUUCCAUUGUAUAAAAUAUGUUACUUUGAGUUGGUGUAACACAAAAUACUAAAUCCAUACAUUGGAUUUUGUCGUUUUAGAGUGUCACUAUGUGAAAAAGCUUAAUGGGUUUUUGUAAAGCAUGUAAAAAAUAGGGGGAUGUUUAUACAAGUGCCAUGAAUUUGUAAAACUUAGGUUUGUUUUUGUCACCUGUCAUCCCAAAAGUUUACUUUCAGUCCUGAUUUAAAAGCAGCCCUAUGUACAAAUAUUAUCAAUCUUCAGAUAAGAUGUCACUAAGACUGUCUUUUAUGCCACCAAGGUUUUCAGGGUUUGCAGUAAUCUUUUGGCCAAAGCCCUGCUUUGCUUUCUCCCAAAGGGGCCACACUGAAACAUCAUCUCCCAAUGCAUAUUCAGGUCAAGGCCAUGACGAGGAACCUUGUGCUCGUGAGCACGGGGUAGAAUCCUUCAUCUACUAAUUUGGUUGUUCAAAUUCGACUGAGAGGAAACACCAGCCUCAUGAUGUCAGAAACAACUGACCCCAAGGUGACAGGUUUGAAGGUUGUUCAUGCUCAUUGCUCUUAGGCUGGAGUUAAGAAUGUAAAUGUGUGCAUGUGGUUUUGAUUUGAAGCGCUGUGAUUGCAGGCACUCUGCUGUCACCCCUCCCCUCCAUAGAAAGUAUAUACUUAACAGGAAGUGGUAUGUUUUUGCUUAGAAGCAGAAUAUGUUAAUUACUAUAAUGGUGCCUGUUGACAUGAGUAACGGUGGGGCAAUGGUGACUCAAUCAAUUGCUGGGUUGCCGGUUCGAAACUCUACCCGUCUCAGUCGUUGCGUCCUUGGGCGGGGCACUUCCCCCGCCUUGCCUGCUGAUGGUGGUCAGAGGGCUCGGUGGCACCGAUUGUAUGGCAGCCAUUUAUGUCAGUCUGCCCCAGGGCAGCUGUGGCUGCCAGUGUGUGAAGGUGUGUAUGAAUGGGAGGAUGACUGUUUGUAUUGUAAAGACCUUUGGAGUCCUUGGACUCAAUAAAGCACAUGCAGGCAAUUUACCGUGAGUAAAACACAACCAUAUUGUUAGUGGACAUGUUUUUUUAAGGUAAAUAUUCCAAACUUUAAUCAUUUCACUUAAAAACGUUUGCAAUAAAUGUAAUAAUUCCUUGGUGUCUUCUCAUUAUUUCGUAUUUUGUAAGAAUGUGAAGACUGUUGUUCAGAAUAUAGAACUAAAGAGGCCAACUCUCAAUGAUUUGAUUAUUGUUUGAUAUUACCUUUUAGAUCCUAAUGUCUGUACUUGGCAAUUAAGGGGUUUUUCUCAGCUGUACAACACUUGCCAAAAUGAAUUAAUCCCAAUUACGGCUGGUGUAAAUAGAGUGAACUUCUGUAGUCUGCAGCCAAAUGUAUUACUGAGACCUCCAUUACACCAAUGGUAAGUACAUGUGCCAGCUAGCUCUUUGAAUUGGACUGUUUUCUCUGGGGGGUACUAUAAAAUAAAAUGCUAAAAUGCACUAAAUAAAGAGAAAAAAGAUGCACCAAUCACAAUUUUCCUGGCCCAUUUCUGGUUUACUUUGGUCUUUGACCCGAUAAUUCUGAUUUUAACUGAUUACAAUGCUUUUUUUUUUAAAGACUGUAACACGUCAAAUAAUAAGUGCAGUGGGUUAUUUGGUUGAGCUUUAAAUACAACAGAAAAUGAAGGAAUUACAUGAUCAUCCCUAUUUCCCUAAUCUUUAUCUGACUUUUAUUAAACUCUUAAAAGUGCAUCAACUUGCUUGCUGCUAAUUUAUAUAUUUAUAGAUAAAUAGUGUGAUUUCUUAGGUUUGAUGCAUUUAAUGAAUAUAAGAAAAAACAUUUUUGACUUUUCAGAAUUUGACCGGCUGUUGCCUGAUCAGAGCUGAUAAGAGGAAACUGGUCGAUUAUGAUCACUGACAGAAUUAUUGAUGCAUCUCGAGACAAAAACUGCUUUAUUUUUUCAUUGCAGAGAUCUAAAAAAAAACUAGACAGUGUGAGGACAUAUUUUUUAAAUGCCUACAUUAAAACUGAAUUUAGAAAAGUCCCUCAAUUACAAAAUAUCCAUGGUGGCCUAAACAAAUCCAAUGUUUAUUAUGUACCUCAUCUACAAGUACAUCCAAGUGAUAAAUGUUGUUCAAUGACAUAAUGUUUACCCUGUCAAAAAAAUAAAUGAUACAUAUUUAAGGA
Long non-coding RNA from Girardinichthys multiradiatus, 4941 nucleotides. RefSeq lists it as uncharacterized. The transcript has 8 exons. The record is from RefSeq and is a predicted model, not a curated record. Lineage: Eukaryota; Metazoa; Chordata; Actinopteri; Cyprinodontiformes; Goodeidae.